GUGAGGAAUAUUGGUCAAUGGGCGGGAGCCUGAACCAGCCAAGUCGCGUGAAGGAAGAAGGAUCUAUGGCUCGUAAACUUCUUUUGCAGGGGAAUAAAGUGCAGGACGUGUCCUGUUUUGUAUGUACCCUGAGAAUAAGGAUCGGCUAACUCCGUGCCAGCAGCCGCGGUAAUACGGAGGAUCCGAGCGUUAUCCGGAUUUAUUGGGUUUAAAGGGUGCGUAGGUGGUUUGAUAAGUCAGCGGUGAAAGUUUGCAGCUUAACUGUAAAAAUGCCGUUGAAACUGUCGGACUUGAGUGUAAAUGAGGUAGGCGGAAUGCGUGGUGUAGCGGUGAAAUGCAUAGAUAUCACGCAGAACUCCGAUUGCGAAGGCAGCUUACUAAGCUACAACUGACACUGAAGCACGAAAGCGUGGGGAUCAAACAGGAUUAGAUACCCGUGUAGUCC
RNAcentral lists this ribosomal RNA (445 nucleotides) under uncultured bacterium. RNAcentral describes it as "partial 16S ribosomal RNA". It matches the Rfam family "Bacterial small subunit ribosomal RNA", at positions 354 to 796 of the family's 1533-position model. The record is from RNAcentral.